AAGUGAAUGCAAUCAAGAAGAGAAUAAAUAAUGUAAAAGAUGAAAUAAAUACAGCCAAGAAAAGAAAUGAAAGCGGUCAAAAGGGACAGAAAAGGAUAGCAUUUACUUACUUACUUACUUACUUGAUUAAUUCAUUCAAUGGAGACGUUAUUGAUUUUUGAUUUUAUGAAGACUGCAAGUUCCUUUUUUUUUUUUAGGGCGUUUUUGUUUUUUUCUGGAAUAUAAUUACAUUCAAGAUAUGAUAGCAGAAAUGAAGCUCCAGCUAAUAAUGCUUAUGGUGAUCACUAUGCUGGUUCAACUCUCGGCGGCCUUCUCGCUCUGGGAUCUUUUCUUCAAGAGGCCUACGUGGUUUAGGUCGAGGAUCUCGAGGAACAGGCCCUCAUGGAUGCCUCACCUCCAAAACUACGGCUACUGGAACGGCUAUGACAUCGACGGCUAUACAGAGAGUGGAUAAGAAAGUCCUCAUGCAGUUCAGCCGUCCGUUUAUUCUUCGCAGAUGGAAUAUUAAACGUACUGCAGAUGUUCAGCUGCAUUAAAAAUGUUCUAUUGUAAUGUUAUUUGUUAUGUUAUUGAAUUAUUUAUUUAUAUAUUUCCUACAAACUUUCUGCUUUUGUUGUUUUCUUAAGUUAUUGCUCACGCUGAAAGAACAUAAUUUUCCUAAGCAAAACAUGUGUCAAAAUAUCAAAAGAAUUGUUAAAUGUUAACUGUUAGUGCUGGGUUAGUUUGGAUAAGCGUGUAAGUUGUUAUUUAUAAGUUAUCUCUUAAGAAAUCGAAAUAUAUUUUUCAUGUUGA
This 792-nucleotide long non-coding RNA is filed under the name Penaeus chinensis. RNAcentral's name for it is "uncharacterized LOC125026510, transcript variant X2". The record is from RNAcentral. Lineage: Eukaryota; Metazoa; Arthropoda; Malacostraca; Decapoda; Penaeidae.